RNAcentral lists this long non-coding RNA (6252 nucleotides) under Nicotiana tabacum (common tobacco). RNAcentral's name for it is "long non-coding RNA (NTAB_LNC000765)". Lineage: Eukaryota; Viridiplantae; Streptophyta; Magnoliopsida; Solanales; Solanaceae. The record is from RNAcentral.
CCCCCCCUUUUCUUCUUCUCUUCUCUUUUCUCUUGACUCUCUCUCAUCUCUCUGCCUCUCCGCCACUCCCCACGGUGGUUCCACCGGCUGAAAAUUGCCACCACCGGCCGACCACCUCCAAUCACCACCAAACUUUCACCCCCUAAUAUCAACCUCGUCUUUUUGAUUCCAACCUCCAAAUCCUCUAAAUCCUCACCAAUCACCACAAAUCCGGCCAAAUCUGAAAUCCUAGCCGUCCAAAGUUUCUUCUUUUCUUUCUCAAAUUAGUGACAUACCAGUCAUCCCCACCACACAAGCCUCGCAUAAAUGUGUAUAUCUCCGGGAGAUCUGCACUUCUCCAUUAGUUUCAUUACCAAAAAGCCCCAUCGUUACCGUCCGACCACCCCAAUGCCUGUAACCUCCACCAAACGCCCCGAACAUCUAUUUUAGCUAUUUUGACUCAAAGACACUCGUUUUUUUUUGCAAGACGCCGAAACCCUUUUGUUUUAGCGUCUGCUCGAAAGAAACGUGUGUUCUAGAGUCGGACAGCCACCGCUUGAUGUCUCUGUCGUCUUCUGGUGGCUUGAGACUGCCUCGAUGGCACUUGUUAGGUAUACUCCUAUCUCUUGUUUCCUUUUUAAUUUUUUAUGUUUCAUUAAAGUUAGUUUAGGCCUAGGUUUAGCUUAUAACAUUUUUCUGUUUGUUUCUUAUUCGUGAUGAUCUUCUUUUAAUUUGUGUAUUUUCUUUUGAUAAAAUAGUUUAGAUAUUUUAGCCGAAAAUAGUAGCUUAAUCACUCAAUGAAUCUUGUUUAGUUCUUGUUUGUGAUUUAGUAGUUUGGUAUGUAGUAUAGUGUUCUGAUUAGCUGCUCGUAAUGGUCGUUUAGUUAGUGAGUUUGUAUUUAUUUAGUUUGAGUUAGUGACUUGUUGAUCUUGAUCGAUUGUUGGUUGCAUAAACCAAAUUGAUUUAAUCUAGUUAGUUUGAAUUUAGUUACAGUAAAGAUAUUAUUUAUGCUUUGACAAUCCAUAUUUGUUUAAGUUUGAUUUGUUUUGAGCAAGUAGGUUGGUACUGAUGGUUUAAAGUUGAAGUCUAGGUAAAUUGAUCACGAUUUAGGAUACUAGUAGCUUGCUUUUUACUACUAGAGUGGCUGAAAGGACCCUUUCACCCCAUGCUUCUGCCACAACAGGUUGGCUGUCUUUUCACCCUUCGAACAGUCUUUGGGCAGUGUUUUGGCCUACAAAGUCAGUCCUUUUGGACAGACUUUUGGUGAACCAAAAUCUAUCCCAAAGGACUUGUAUUUUCCUACUUAAGGGGGCUCCUCUCACUCACUUUAAUUUAGACAGGCCUUUCAACCUUUGUUGAACACACAAAAAACUUGAGAGAAAUCAGCUGAACAUCAAGAAAUAGUAGGCUGAAACUUGAGAGCUUUGUGUGAAUUUUCUGGAAAAAAAAAACUUCAAAGAACAAAUGUCUUUGAAGUUAAUUUAUGGGUUUCUUUAUCUCUGAAAAUUGUCUGAGUUUUCGAGAUCUAUUUCGAGUCGUCUAUUUGGUUCUUUACUGUUGUUGCUGUUGUUUAUUUAGUUGCUGAUUUUCAAGUGCUUUUGCCGAGUUUUUCUGUUUCGUUUCUAGGUAUUUUCAUCGCUAUUUCUGCUGUUGUUUCUGCUCGUUACACUGCAGUAUUUUUAUUAUUCUGCGACCCAGGUAACUCUUUAACCUUGUGUUGUAGAUACUUUAACAUUAAUAAGAAGAUUUGAACUCAUCUUGACUGUUGGGAGCAUAUUUAUCUAGAUAAAUGAAUGCUAGAUAGUUUUUGAUUGUUAAAGCAUAUCUUGUUUGAUUCACGUGUAAAAAUGAAUCUAUGAAUGUUCAAAUACUCUCUAUUCAUGUGUAACUUGACUUUAUUACCCAAUAUAUGGUUCCGAUUCAUGUAAAAAUGGGAUAUUCUGAAAAGGCUGGCAUGUGUUUAAAGACUGUUCUGGCACUUUGCGCAAUUCUGGCCAGUUUAUGUUAGUUUUGUGCAAAUUGGCCAUUCUUUAAAGAAAAGAACAAAAGAGCCAUGCCUGAAAGCUUUAAUUUAUUAUUAUAAAGUCUAGAUUUUACAUCUCUGCUAGGACCUUUGCUUUCUGGUAAAAAGUGGCUAGAUCAUAAAUAAGUGGUUGGGAUUGCUAGCUAAAAAUAAAGGUUAAUGGCUUAGAGCAAAAGAGGUUAGACUCGCAAUAUAGCACAGGUGGGCUGUCUUAGCAAGUCAGCAGUUGAAAGCCAUUGGGCUUUUAGCUUGUGCCCAUUUAUGGAGCCCAAUAAUGUGGACAAGACAGAUUCUGCCCAACAGGCCCAAUGCCUUUAAAAAGUCUAUAAAUAUUUUGCCCAUUCGUUUGUGUAGAUGCUGGCCCAAUGACACAACUAAUAAGCAAAUCGGCCCACUUUCUCAAUAAAUAAUCUGAUCCAUCUUCAAAAUAAUACUAGAUUAGUUGAAUAAACUUAUUAGGAGCAAGUUAAUUUCCAUAAUGUUUAACAAUAAUCUAAUAACUUAAGCACUUUUAAUUAAUUUAAGCGCUAGGCAAAUUUUAGGCACGGAUACAAGUCUGAUGUUCUUAAAAUGCUUCGCGUAUACUAGCUUGGUCAUGUAGUUUAAUAAGAAUAAAGAUUAUAAAUAAGGUCCAAUAUCAAUAGAAUAUCCAUAAGUUGUUUUACUACCAUUAGUUUACAAAAAACAUUUUCUUUCACAAUAGAGAUGGAUAAUUAUUUUUCCCAUAAUCUAACCUCCAAAACCUUAGAUUAAAUAAAGAUAAUUAGUUUCGUCUUAACCGAUAUCGAUAAGACUCACUUCGAGUAGGCUCCAAUUCUAGGUGCGACACACGAAUUAAGGUCGGAGAUAAUCGUCUUGGUUAGUGUAAGUUAGGGUCGGGGAUACUAGUCCUAGUUUGAAACUUAACAAUGUCAUCAACAAUAAAAGCGGAGUUUAAGUCAAUAAAGCGACGGUGCUAGAACCACGGACUCGGGGAGUGCCUCACACCUUCACCCCGGUCAACAUAAUUUCUUACCCGGUCUCCUAUUUUUGUAGACCAAUAAAAAUAGAGUCAAACCUUCCUUUGACUAGGGAUUCAAAUAAAAAGUGACUUGGAACACCUAAAAAAUCAAUUCGAGUGGCGACUCUAUAAAUAAAAUAAUCUCUACUCAAAUUUGUCACUUUAAUUAAAAUUUUUUUUUUAAUCCACAAUCCAUACAACAUAUCCUUUAGGGUAGAAAAGGGGUGUGACAGCUCUGGCGACUCUGCUAGGUAAAUUCAAGAAUUCGAGCUUAUACAUUGACUUUAUUUAGCUUUAUUAAUUUUAGUAUAUACUGUGAUUUAUUUGGGCCUAAUAUGCUACUUGCCUGCUCUUUACCGCUUUGAUAUUGUUGAACUGUAUUAUAAAUUGUCUUCUUGCGCAUCCCCUCUAAGUCUUCUGAAUAUAACAUCAGCAAUUGCGGAUACGCGCCCCAUUCUUUUUUGAGAUAAAGCUGGUGGGCCUGAGCUCCCAGUGAAGAAUUAUUAGUCACCCAUAUUUAAGAAACGGGGAGGUUCCAGUAUUGUGAUGACCCGAUAGGUCAUUUUGAGAUUUAGCCUCUAUUCCCGUAUUUUGAGACCUCGAAUAGCUUCGUUUAGCAUUCUUGAUUUGCGUGCACAGUCAGAGUCUUAUUCUGAAAACGUUUUAUGUGAAAAAUUUAAGAAAAUGUGAAUUUUUGUCUUUAAAAUGACUUGAGUUGACUACGGUCAAUAUUUUAUGUAAACGGAUCCGGAUUAGUAUUUUGAUGGUUCAGGUGGAUCCGAAUCGUGAUUUGGCACUUGGGCGUAUGUCCGGAAUUGAAUUCGUAAGUCCCUAACUUGUUUUGACUCAUUUUGCUGAAAAUUAGCAUUUUUGAAAGUUAAAGAAUUCCUAAGUUGACCAUAAGUUGACUUCUUAGCUAAUAGGUUCGAAUUUUGACAUUAAAACUUGGAAUUAUUCCGUAUUGCUAUUUGAAACUUGUCUGCAAAAUUUGGUUCAAUUCGAAAUUGAUUUGACAUAAUUCAGACACAUAAACGUGAUUCUAGUAUUUUUGAGUUUCACUUUAAAAGUUCAUUCGUUUUGAGAGUUGAUUCGUAGAUAUACAUGUUAUUUUGGUGAUUUGAUUGUACGAGAAAGUUCUUAUGAUGUUAUUACACUUGUGUGCAUGUUUAGUUUGGAGUCCGAGGGGCUCACGUGAGUUUCGAAUAGUCUACGAAUUGAUUUUGGACUUUGGGAGAUAGCUGAUGUCUUCAGUGUUGCUGGUGUAAUCUACAGAUCUCGCAUUUGCGAGGCCUGGCUCGCAAUUGCGAGCCUCGCUUUUGCGAACUAGUAUUUGCAUUUGCGAGUACGGGUUGGAUUGGGAAGUUUUGCAUUUGCGAGGAGAAAGUUCGCAUUUGCGAACGUGCAGUUGCAGCUUUGCGAAGACAGAGUCGCGUUUGCGACUCAGUGUGUUCCUGGGUAACCUUCGCAUUUGCGAAGGGAUGGUCUGCAUUUGCGUGGGCUCUAGGUUCAUAUUUGCGACCAAAAUGUCACAUUUGCGACGUCUCUUCUUCUAAGAUAGGGUUCUCAUUUGCGACCCCUUUCUCGCAUUUGCGAUGUUUGCAAUUGCGAACAUGACAUUGCAAUUGCGACAUCCGCAUCUGGGUAAAAGAGGGAAAAAGCGAGAUUUAGCUCAUUUCUCACAAACUCUCAAAUCUAAACACCUAGAGGCGAUUUUCCAAGAGACGUUUCUUCCUAAAUUCAUUGGUUAGUGACUUUAAUCCAUUUUUUUUCAAUUACCCAUAACAUUUCAUAAGAUUUCAACAUAAAAUUUAGGAUUUCAAUGGUAGAAAUUAGAGAUUUGGGUAUAAUUGAGGAUUUUUGUAAAAUUGAGGUUUAGACCUCGAAUUGGGGUCGGAUUUCGAAACAAAUCACAUAAUCAGGCUCAGGGGUGAAUGUGUAAUCGGGUUUUGGUCCAAAUCUCAAUUUUGACCAAGCGGGCCCGGGGUUGACUUUUGUUGACUUUUCCAAAAAUGAUCUAAAUUGAACCCCUUUCAUUCGUGGGUAGUUUCUAAAGUUUAUUUUGAAUCAUUUGGUCAAUAAUUUACUAUAUUUGGUUGGUUUGGAGGCUUGUUCGAAAGGAAAGACCGUUGAGCUUUGAGUUAAUUGCGGAGUGAGGUAAAUGUUGGGUUUAAUGUAAGUGACCCGCGUUAGCUUGUCACUACUUCAUCGAGGUUACGCUCGACACUUACAGAGUACAUGGGGUCGGUUGUACUCAUACUACACUCUGCACUUCUUGUGCAGAUACCGAAGUUGGUCCCAUUGACGUUCAGUAAACUUGCUCAGAUCCAGUUUUUCGGUGGAGACUUGAGGUAUAGCUACACGACGUCUGCAGCCCUGAAGUCCCCUUAUACUUUAUUUUAGCUGUUUACUUUGAUUAAGACAGUUAUGUUUAUUUUAAACUUUUAUUUUUAGUAUUCUAGAUGCUCAUGUAUUCUUGACACCAGUUCCGAGAUUUGUAUUUGAAUUUCGUCACUUAUUAGUUUAUUACCUUAUUUCAGACUGUUCAGUUUUAUUAUUGUCAUUUAAUUUGAAAAUUGUUAAAAAUGGUUAAUAACUAUAUCUAACGUUGGGCGCCAUCACGGUCCCUAGGGUGGGAAUUUUGGAUCGUGACAAAUUGGUAUCAGAGCACUAGGUUGCCUAAGUCUCACGUGUCAUGAGCAAGCUUAGUAUAGUCUGGAGGAUCGGUAUGGAGACAUCUAUACUUAUGUUCUAGAGGCUAUGAAGUUUAGGAAAAAAUUCACUUCUUUCUAUCUCGAUCGUGCAAUUCAUUCUAUCAUUGAUGAUUGAACCAUUCUAUUCUUGUUCUCUCGCAGAUGGCGAGAACACACAACAUCGACAGUUGAACAGGAGCUGGAGCCCCAUGUGGCAGCUACUACCAGGGGCAGAUGUAACGAACCGAUCGAUCGUUUUGAGCUCUAGUGCAUCAUUCGGCGGUUUGAGGCCUUGAGUAGCUUCACUUCAUGUUUUAUGACUUGUACGUGUGGUCAGAAUUAAAUUUCGGGAAGUUCGGAGUUGAUUCGGAAGGAAAAUUCUCAAUGCGGAAGCUUAAGUUGGAAAGGUUGACCAAGGUUUGACUUUUAUUUAAACGACUUCGGAAUUGAGAUUUGAAGGUUCUAAUAGGUUCGUACGAUAAUUUCGGACUUGGGUGUAUGUUUGGGUUGAGUAUCGGGUGGUUCGGAAGCAUUUUGGCGCUUAUUAUGGGAAGUUGGCA